UCGCCAGACUCCUACGGGAGGCAGCAGUGGGGAAUAUUGCACAAUGGGGGAAACCCUGAUGCAGCGACGCCGCGUGAGUGAUGAAGUAUUUCGGUAUGUAAAGCUCUAUCAGCAGGGAAGAAAAUGACGGUACCUGACUAAGAAGCACCGGCUAAAUACGUGCCAGCAGCCGCGGUAAUACGUAUGGUGCAAGCGUUAUCCGGAUUUACUGGGUGUAAAGGGAGCGUAGACGGAGAGGCAAGUCUGAUGUGAAAACCCGGGGCUCAACCCCGGGACUGCAUUGGAAACUGUUUUUCUAGAGUGUCGGAGAGGCAAGUGGAAUUCCUAGUGUAGCGGUGAAAUGCGUAGAUAUUAGGAGGAACACCAGUGGCGAAGGCGGCUUGCUGGACGAUGACUGACGUUGAGGCUCGAAAGCGUGGGGAGCAAACAGGAUUAGAUACCCCAGUA
RNAcentral lists this ribosomal RNA (447 nucleotides) under uncultured bacterium. RNAcentral describes it as "bacterial SSU rRNA". It matches the Rfam family "Bacterial small subunit ribosomal RNA", at positions 328 to 792 of the family's 1533-position model. The record is from RNAcentral.